RNAcentral lists this ribosomal RNA (250 nucleotides) under uncultured bacterium. RNAcentral describes it as "partial 16S ribosomal RNA". It matches the Rfam family "Bacterial small subunit ribosomal RNA", at positions 524 to 773 of the family's 1533-position model. The record is from RNAcentral.
GACAGAGGUGGCGAGCGUUGUUCGGAUUUAUUGGGCGUAAAGCGUACGCAGGCGGUUUGGUAAGUCAGAGGUGAAAUUCCGCAGCUUAACUGCGGCACUGCCUUUGAUACUGCCUUUCUAGAGUAUAUGAGGGGGAAGCGGAAUUCCGAGUGUAGAGGUGAAAUUCGUAGAUAUUCGGAGGAACACCGGUGGCGAAGGCGGCUUCCUGGCAUAUAACUGACGCUCAUGUACGAAAGCGUGGGUAGCAAAC